GUAGGUGAACCUGCGGAAGGAUCAUUAAUAGAGCAAAGGACAGACAGCGCCCCACAGGAGCUUGCUCCGUGGCGGGCUACCCUACUUCGGUAAGGUUUAGAGUCGUCGAACCUCUCGAAGAAGUUCGGUCCUGAACUCCACCCUUGAAUAAAUUACCUUUUGUUGCUUUGGCAGGCCGCCUCGUGCCGGCGGCUUCGGCUGUUGAGUGCCUGCCAGAGGACCAUAACUCUUGUUUUUAGUGAUGUCUGAGUACUAUAUAAUAGUUAAAACUUUCAACAACGGAUCUCUUGGUUCUG
This 296-nucleotide unclassified non-coding RNA is filed under the name rhizosphere metagenome. RNAcentral's name for it is "partial ribosomal RNA internal transcribed spacer region". The record is from RNAcentral.